Ovis aries (sheep) is the source of this 73-nucleotide non-coding RNA. The record is from Rfam. Lineage: Eukaryota; Metazoa; Chordata; Mammalia; Artiodactyla; Bovidae.
UCCCUGGUGGUCCAGUGGGUAAGACUCUGUGCUCCCAAUGCAGGGACCCCAGGUUCAACCCCUGGUCCAAGAA